RNAcentral lists this long non-coding RNA (415 nucleotides) under Volvox carteri. Its description in RNAcentral is "long non-coding RNA (VCAR_LNC001939)". The record is from RNAcentral. Lineage: Eukaryota; Viridiplantae; Chlorophyta; Chlorophyceae; Chlamydomonadales; Volvocaceae.
UAGUCUUAGUCUUAGUAGUAGUCUUAGUCUUAGUAGUUUUAGUCUUAGUAGUUUUAGUCUUAGUAGUCUUAGUCUUAGUCUUAGUAGUAGUCUUAGUCUUAGUAGUAGUCUUAGUCUUAGUCUUAGUCUUAGUCUUAGUCUUAGUAGUUGUCUUAGCAGUAGUCCUAGUCUUAGUAGUCUUAGUCUUAGUAGUAGUAGUCUUAGUCUUAGUCUUAGUAGUUUUAGUCUUAGUAGUAGUCUUAGUCUUAGUAGUCUUAGUCUUAGUAGUCUUAGUCUUAGUAGUCUUAGUCUUAGUAGUCUUAGUCUUAGUAGUUGUCUUAGCAGUAGUCUUAGUCUUAGUAGUAGUAGUCUUAGUAGUAGUAGUCUUAGUAGUCUUAGUAGUAGUAGUCUUAGUCUUAGUAGUAGUCUUAGUNNN